GAACAGGAUUUAGAUACCCGGGUAGUCCAUGCCGUAAACGUUGGGGCACUAGGUGUGGGGGACAUUCCACGUUUUCCGCGCCGUAGCUAACGCAUUAAGUGCCCCGCCUGGGGAGUACGGCCGCAAGGCUAAAACUCAAAGGAAUUGACGGGGGCCCGCACAAGCGGCGGAGCAUGCGGAUUAAUUCGAUGCAACGCGAAGAACCUUACCAAGGCUUGACAUGAACCGGAAUGAUGCAGAGAUGUGUCAGCCACUUGUGGCCGGUUUACAGGUGGUGCAUGGUUGUCGUCAGCUCGUGUCGUGAGAUGUUGGGUUAAGUCCCGCAACGAGCGCAACCCUCGUUCCAUGUUGCCAGCGGGUUAUGCCGGGGACUCAUGGGAGACUGCCGGGGUCAACUCGGAGGAAGGUGGGGACGACGUCAAAUCAUCAUGCCCCUUAUGUCUUGGGCUUCACGCAUGCUACAAUGGCCGGUACAAAGGGUUGCGAUACUGUGAGGUGGAGCUAAUCCCAAAAAGCCGGUCUCAGUUCGGAUUGAGGUCUGCAACUCGACCUCAUGAAGUUGGAGUCGCUAGUAAUCGCAGAUCAGCAACGCUGCGGUGAAUACGUUCCCGGGCCUUGUACACACCGCCCGUCUUUGUCACGAAAGUUGGUAACACCCAAGCCGGU
This 666-nucleotide ribosomal RNA is filed under the name Arthrobacter sp. RNAcentral describes it as "bacterial SSU rRNA". It matches the Rfam family "Bacterial small subunit ribosomal RNA", at positions 770 to 1431 of the family's 1533-position model. The record is from RNAcentral. Lineage: Bacteria; Bacillati; Actinomycetota; Actinomycetes; Micrococcales; Micrococcaceae.